Long non-coding RNA from Strongylocentrotus purpuratus (purple sea urchin), 625 nucleotides. RefSeq lists it as uncharacterized. The transcript is spliced from 2 exons. Lineage: Eukaryota; Metazoa; Echinodermata; Echinoidea; Camarodonta; Strongylocentrotidae. The record is from RefSeq and is a predicted model, not a curated record.
UAAUUAUGUUUACAAUAGUAUGCCGGGAACGGGUAAACAACCCCUGGUUUUGAAUUCUUGCAUUAGAUUAAAGUGUUCAUUUCCAAUAACAAGUUAGACAAUAGACUGUUUUGCCGGGGACGCGACAUUCUCGCGAAGAGAUAGACUCCUCCCAUAUUUGUUGGUGACUAGUUCAGAUAACACUCAUCUAUUAUGCUUUGUCAUUGGUUAUAAUUAAUUAAAGGUAUAACUCCUCUCUUAAUUGGUCGGAUGACCUAAGGGUAAUUUGAUAUAUCCCGUCUUGCAAUUGGUUGGCUUCGUUAGAGUCCUUCUGGUUGGCUGGCAAUAUCAUGUAAUAUCUAAGCCUCAUUGGGUGCCGCGGUAUUUAAAUGCCAGGUGCGGGAUUUUGAAGUCAGUUUUAGUUGAUAUUAUUUGAGAGUAUAUUAUUUGAGAGUAUAUUAUUUGAAAGUUUAUUUCAUUCCGUUAUCAUGUUUAAGAUGUGCUGCUAGUUUACGGUCAAUAUGGCCGCCCAGCCUCUGAGAGAAGCAGCUUAUUUAAAAUGUUUAUAUAAUAAUUACUCUUCGUUUUUGUAACGAUUGGAGCUUCGGCUGACUUAUAUUAUUAAUAAAGUGGACUUCAACUGUAA